RNAcentral lists this ribosomal RNA (464 nucleotides) under uncultured bacterium. RNAcentral describes it as "partial 16S ribosomal RNA". It matches the Rfam family "Bacterial small subunit ribosomal RNA", at positions 29 to 507 of the family's 1533-position model. The record is from RNAcentral.
ACGAACGCUGGCGGCGUGCUUAACACCUGCAAGUCGAACGGAAAGGCCCCUUUGGGGGUCCUCGAGUGGCGAACGGGUGAGUAACACGUGAGUAACCUGCCCUUGACUUCGGGAUAACUUCAGGAAACUGGGGCUAAUACCGGAUAGGAAUCCUUGCUGCAUGGUGGGGGUUGGAAAGCUUCGGCGGUUUUGGAUGGACUCGCGGCUUAUCAGCUUGUUGGUGGGGUAGUGGCUUACCAAGGCUUUGACGGGUAGCCGGCCUGAGAGGGCGACCGGCCACAUUGGGACUGAGAUACGGCCCAGACUCCUACGGGAGGCAGCAGUGGGGAAUAUUGCACAAGGGGCGGAAGCCUGAUGCAGCAACGCCGCGUGCGGGAUGACGGCCUUCGGGUUGUAAACCGCUUUCAGCAGGGGCGAAGCUUGUGGUGACGGUACCUGCAGAAGAAGCACCGGCUAACUACGUG